CACUAGGACAAACUUUACUCUUAGCAGUACCUGCCCAGUGCAAAGUUGUAAACGGCCGCCCUAGCGUGAGGGUGCCAAGGUAGCGAAAUUCCUUGCCUUUUAAUUGUAGGCCUGCAUGAAUGGAUUGACGAGGGUCAAACUGUCUCUUGCUUUGUAUGACGAAAUUGGACUGAAGGUGAAGAUACCUUCAUGUAAAAGUUAGACAAGAAGACCCCGUGCAGCUUUUAAAAACUUACUUAUUAAGAGUUAUAAGAUUUUUAGGUGGGGCGCCUAGGAAGUAAAACUUAACCUUCUUAUUUGAUAAAAGUAACUGUCUGGUGUAGACCCGGCAAGUCCGAUCAUGGGAGAAGUUACGCCGGGGAUAACAGGCUUAUCCAUUAGUAGAGCUCGUAUUGGCUAAUGGGAUUGGCACCUCGAUGUUGAAUUAAGGAUGAUAACUCUAAGGCGUAAAGGCUUUGGAAGUGGGUCUGUUCGACCUUUAAUACCUU
RNAcentral lists this ribosomal RNA (488 nucleotides) under Saccostrea sp. KKL-2003. Its description in RNAcentral is "partial 16S ribosomal RNA". It matches the Rfam family "Bacterial large subunit ribosomal RNA", at positions 1832 to 2597 of the family's 2925-position model. The record is from RNAcentral. Lineage: Eukaryota; Metazoa; Mollusca; Bivalvia; Ostreida; Ostreidae.